AAGUCGUAACAAGGUUUCUGUAGGUGAACCUGCAGAAGGAUCAUUAGUGAAGAUUUGGGCAGGCCAUACGGAUUACCAAACUUGUGUGUCCCUGGCCGCCUACCCACUAUACAUCCACAAACCCGUGUGCACUGUAGAAGGACCUGGGGAGGAAGAGGACAGCGCGGUCCCACGCGCUGGGCUUGUUUCUCUCGGGUUUUCUUCGCUAUAACUCGAAUGGUUAGUAUGAACGUGGAACUUGGUUGGACCGUAACUGGCCAACAAACAUACACAA
RNAcentral lists this unclassified non-coding RNA (274 nucleotides) under plant metagenome. Its description in RNAcentral is "partial contains small subunit ribosomal RNA and internal transcribed spacer 1". The stretch from base 1 to 46 matches the Rfam family "Eukaryotic small subunit ribosomal RNA", at positions 1786 to 1831 of the family's 1831-position model. The record is from RNAcentral.